GCGCUGUUAGCUCAGCUGGAUAGAGUGGCUGGCUUCGAACCAGCAGGUCGGGGGUUCAACUCCCUCACAGCGCACCA
Molecule: transfer RNA, 77 nt
Filed under: Clostridiales bacterium
Lineage: Bacteria; Bacillati; Bacillota; Clostridia; Eubacteriales
Description: tRNA-Arg
Rfam family: tRNA
About the family: Transfer RNA (tRNA) molecules are approximately 80 nucleotides in length. Their secondary structure includes four short double-helical elements and three loops (D, anti-codon, and T loops).
Source: RNAcentral